AGAGUUUGAUCAUGGCUCAGGAUGAACGCUGGCGGCGUGCCUAACACAUGCAAGUCGAACGGUCAGGUUAUUUCGGUAGCCUGAUAGUGGCGAACGGGUGAGUAACACGUUGGUGACCUACCCCGAAGUGGGGGACAACUCCUCGAAAGAGGAGCUAAUACCCCAGAUGUCUAAAGGUUUAGACGCUUUAGACUAAAGUUUUUCGGAAUGCUUUGGGAGGGGCCUGCGGGCUAUCAGCUAGUUGGUGAGGUAAAGGCUCACCAAGGCGAAGACGGCUAGGGGGCGUGAGAGCGUGACCCCCCACAAGGGAACUGAGAAACGGUCCCUACUCCUACGGGAGGCAGC
Molecule: ribosomal RNA, 345 nt
Filed under: uncultured soil bacterium
Lineage: Bacteria
Description: bacterial SSU rRNA
Rfam family: Bacterial small subunit ribosomal RNA
Source: RNAcentral